GUCUACGUAGCUUAGUAGGUAAAACACCCGAUUAUGGUACGAUAGACUCGGGUUCGAGCCCCGAUGAAGGCA
Non-coding RNA from Henosepilachna vigintioctopunctata, 72 nucleotides. NCBI's taxonomy places the organism in Eukaryota, Metazoa, Arthropoda, Insecta, Coleoptera, Coccinellidae. The record is from the annotation of a GenBank genome assembly.